RNAcentral lists this ribosomal RNA (253 nucleotides) under uncultured bacterium. RNAcentral describes it as "partial 16S ribosomal RNA". It matches the Rfam family "Bacterial small subunit ribosomal RNA", at positions 524 to 776 of the family's 1533-position model. The record is from RNAcentral.
UACGUAGGGUGCAAGCGUUAAUCGGAAUUACUGGGCGUAAAGCGUGCGCAGGCGGUUUCGCAAAUCAGAUGUGAAAGCCCCGGGCUUAACCUGGGAAUUGCAUUUGAAACUACGAGGCUAGAGUGUGUCAGAGGGGGGUAGAAUUCCACGUGUAGCAGUGAAAUGCGUAGAGAUGUGGAGGAAUACCGAUGGCGAAGGCAGCCCCCUGGGAUAACACUGACGCUCAUGCACGAAAGCGUGGGGAGCAAACAGG